GGUUCAGAUUGAACGCUGGCGGCAGGCCUAACACAUGCAAGUCGAGCGGUAGCACAGAGAGCUUGCUCUCGGGUGACGAGCGGCGGACGGGUGAGUAAUGUCUGGGAAACUGCCUGAUGGAGGGGGAUAACUACUGGAAACGGUAGCUAAUACCGCAUAACGUCGCAAGACCAAAGUGGGGGACCUUCGGGCCUCAUGCCAUCAGAUGUGCCCAGAUGGGAUUAGCUAGUAGGUGGGGUAACGGCUCACCUAGGCGACGAUCCCUAGCUGGUCUGAGAGGAUGACCAGCCACACUGGAACUGAGACACGGUCCAGACUCCUACGGGAGGCAGCAGUGGGGAAUAUUGCACAAUGGGCGCAAGCCUGAUGCAGCCAUGCCGCGUGUGUGAAGAAGGCCUUCGGGUUGUAAAGCACUUUCAGCGGGGAGGAAGGCGAUAAGGUUAAUAACCUUGUCGAUUGACGUUACCCGCAGAAGAAGCACCGGCUAACUCCGUGCCAGCAGCCGCGGUAAUACGGAGGGUGCAAGCGUUAAUCGGAAUUACUGGGCGUAAAGCGCACGCAGGCGGUCUGUCAAGUCGGAUGUGAAAUCCCCGGGCUCAACCUGGGAACUGCAUUCGAAACUGGCAGGCUAGAGUCUUGUAGAGGGGGGUAGAAUUCCAGGUGUAGCGGUGAAAUGCGUAGAGAUCUGGAGGAAUACCGGUGGCGAAGGCGGCCCCCUGGACAAAGACUGACGCUCAGGUGCGAAAGCGUGGGGAGCAAACAGGAUUAGAUACCCUGGUAGUCCACGCCGUAAACGAUGUCGAUUUGGAGGUUGUGCCCUUGAGGCGUGGCUUCCGGAGCUAACGCGUUAAAUCGACCGCCUGGGGAGUACGGCCGCAAGGUUAAAACUCAAAUGAAUUGACGGGGGCCCGCACAAGCGGUGGAGCAUGUGGUUUAAUUCGAUGCAACGCGAAGAACCUUACCUGGUCUUGACAUCCACAGAACUUAGCAGAGAUGCUUUGGUGCCUUCGGGAACUGUGAGACAGGUGCUGCAUGGCUGUCGUCAGCUCGUGUUGUGAAAUGUUGGGUUAAGUCCCGCAACGAGCGCAACCCUUAUCCUUUGUUGCCAGCGGUUCGGCCGGGAACUCAAAGGAGACUGCCAGUGAUAAACUGGAGGAAGGUGGGGAUGACGUCAAGUCAUCAUGGCCCUUACGACCAGGGCUACACACGUGCUACAAUGGCAUAUACAAAGAGAAGCGACCUCGCGAGAGCAAGCGGACCUCAUAAAGUAUGUCGUAGUCCGGAUUGGAGUCUGCAACUCGACUCCAUGAAGUCGGAAUCGCUAGUAAUCGUAGAUCAGAAUGCUACGGUGAAUACGUUCCCGGGCCUUGUACACACCGCCCGACACACCAUGGGAGUGGGUUGCAAAAGAAGUAGGUAGCUUAACCUUCGGGAGGGCGCUUACCACUUUGUGAUU
RNAcentral lists this ribosomal RNA (1456 nucleotides) under uncultured organism. Its description in RNAcentral is "16S ribosomal RNA". It matches the Rfam family "Bacterial small subunit ribosomal RNA". The record is from RNAcentral.